AAAUCGGCUUGGGGCUGUGAUUCACCUUCUUUAUCCGGGCGUCUCCACGGAGGGUGAGGAGCCAGUGACGCGACCGACAAGCAAGUCG
Molecule: non-coding RNA, 88 nt
Filed under: unclassified sequences
Description: c-di-GMP sequence
Rfam family: Cyclic di-GMP-II riboswitch aptamer
Source: Rfam by way of RNAcentral